UACGGAGGGUGCGAGCGUUGUCCGGAAUCACUGGGCGUAAAGGGCGCGUAGGUGGCGCGGGCAGUCAACGGUGAAAGUUCGGGGCUCAACCCUGAAUCGGCCGUCGAUACUCCCGUGCUUGAGCACUGUAGAGGCAGGCGGAAUUCCGGGUGUAGCGGUGGAAUGCGUAGAGAUCCGGAAGAACACCGGUGGCGAAGGCGGCCUGCUGGGCAGUGGCUGACGCUGAGGCGCGACAGCGUGGGGAGCAAACAGG
This 253-nucleotide ribosomal RNA is filed under the name uncultured bacterium. RNAcentral's name for it is "partial 16S ribosomal RNA". It matches the Rfam family "Bacterial small subunit ribosomal RNA", at positions 524 to 776 of the family's 1533-position model. The record is from RNAcentral.